CCUACGGGAGACAGCAGUGAGGAAUAUUGGUCAAUGGCCGAGAGGCUGAACCAGCCAAGUCGCGUGAGGGAAGACGGCCCUACGGGUUGUAAACCUCUUUUGUCGGGGAGCAAAGCGAACCACGUGUGGUUUAUUGAGAGUACCUGAAGAAAAAGCAUCGGCAAACUCCGUGCCAGCAGCCGCGGUAAUACGGAGGAUGCGAGCGUUAUCCGGAUUUAUUGGGUUGAAAGGGUGCGCAGGCGGAGGUGCAAGUCAGCGGUAAAAUUGCGGGGCUCAACCCCAUACUGCCGUUGAAACUGGAUGCCUUGAGUGCGCGAGAGGUAUGCGGAAUGCGUGGUGUAGCGGUGAAAUGCAUAGAUAUCACGCAGAACUCCGAUUGCGAAGGCAGCAUACCGGCGCGCAACUGACGCUCAUGCACGAAAGCGUGGGUAUCGAACAGGAUUAGAUACCCCAGUAGUC
This 459-nucleotide ribosomal RNA is filed under the name uncultured bacterium. Its description in RNAcentral is "partial 16S ribosomal RNA". It matches the Rfam family "Bacterial small subunit ribosomal RNA", at positions 338 to 795 of the family's 1533-position model. The record is from RNAcentral.